RNAcentral lists this ribosomal RNA (460 nucleotides) under uncultured bacterium. RNAcentral's name for it is "SSU rRNA". It matches the Rfam family "Bacterial small subunit ribosomal RNA", at positions 26 to 518 of the family's 1533-position model. The record is from RNAcentral.
AGAACGAACGCUGGCGGCAGGCCUAACACAUGCAAGUCGAACGCCGUAGCAAUACGGAGUGGCAGACGGGUGAGUAACGCGUGGGAACAUACCCUUCGGUUCGGAAUAACUCAGGGAAACUUGAGCUAAUACCGGAUACGUCCGAGGUUUUAAUCGACCUUGGAGAAAGAUUUAUCGCCGAAAGAUCGGCCCGCGUCUGAUUAGCUAGUUGGUGAGGUAAUGGCUCACCAAGGCGACGAUCAGUAGCUGGUCUGAGAGGAUGAUCAGCCACAUUGGGACUGAGACACGGCCCAAACUCCUACGGGAGGCAGCAGUGGGGAAUAUUGGACAAUGGGCGCAAGCCUGAUCCAGCCAUGCCGCGUGAGUGAUGAAGGCCCUAGGGUUGUAAAGCUCUUUUAUGCGGGAAGAUAAUGACGGUACCGACAAGAAUAAGCCCGGCUAACUUCGUGCCAGCAGCCGC